This 598-nucleotide ribosomal RNA is filed under the name Henricia sp. CLM-2012a. RNAcentral's name for it is "partial 16S ribosomal RNA". It matches the Rfam family "Bacterial large subunit ribosomal RNA", at positions 1819 to 2597 of the family's 2925-position model. Lineage: Eukaryota; Metazoa; Echinodermata; Asteroidea; Spinulosida; Echinasteridae. The record is from RNAcentral.
CGCUCCUCGAAAAAUUUUAAUGUAUGGGGAGUAUUGCCUGCCCGGUGACGAUUUGUUAAACGGCCGCGGUAUUUUUGACUGUGCGAAGGUAGCGUAAUCAUUUGCUCUUUAAUUGGGGGCUUGAAUGAAUGGCAAGACAGAAGCCAUGCUGUCUUUUCUUUAAUUUCUUGAAUUUGAUAUUGUUGUGAAGAAGCGGCAAUAUGGCCGUAGGACGAGAAGACCCUGUCGAGCUUUACUAAAGGCAGUUUUAUUUAGAUGGAUUCAAUGGGCUAAUUUUUUGUUUGAGAAUAAAUUUUGGGAGUUACUUUUGUGAAUUAAGGAUAUUGUAAAUUGCUAAUUUGUUUGGUUGGGGCAACCGCGGAGAAGAAAGAUCCUCCGCUUUUAUUAGAAAAAAGGUACUGUUUUGUUGCAGAAGGAAUAUUUUUUUAAAAAGAUCCACUGAUUUAGUGAUUAAAGGAAUAAGUUACCGCAGGGAUAACAGCGUCAUUCUUUUGGAGAGUUCAUAUUGAUAAGGGAGUUUGCGACCUCGAUGUUGGAUCAGGAUAUCCUAGGGAUGCAGCGGUUCCUGAGGGUUGGUCUGUUCGACCAUUAAAAUCCU